Molecule: long non-coding RNA, 350 nt
Filed under: Macaca nemestrina (pig-tailed macaque)
Lineage: Eukaryota; Metazoa; Chordata; Mammalia; Primates; Cercopithecidae
Description: lncRNA (ENSMNEG00000046065.1)
Source: RNAcentral
GUGGGAGGUGCUCCCCGAAGUGCUCUUGGCACCCUGUAGUGCCCUUUUGGUUGUGGGGAUGCAAGGAGAGUUCAAACACAAGUUGAAUUUGUUCCUGCCACAGCCUUUCACCUACAGAAAAACUGGCAAAUGCUCAUCAAUGAAUCUGAACCCCUACCUAGACUACCAUCCUCUUGAGGAUCUGCACUCAUAUGCCAAAUGCCUUCCAUGGGCUCAGUGUGGAGUAAGGACUUUCUCCUGGCUUCUGAAUAAAUUGAUUAUGCGGAGUAAGGACUUAUUCCUGGCUUCUGAAUAAAUUGAUUAUCCCAGGAAGGGGAGGAGGGACUGUAAUAUUUUUAUUUUUCUAGAAA